Molecule: long non-coding RNA, 569 nt
Organism: Triticum dicoccoides
Lineage: Eukaryota; Viridiplantae; Streptophyta; Magnoliopsida; Poales; Poaceae
Exons: 3
Source: RefSeq, a predicted model, not a curated record
UUUUGAUACGGAGGUAAUACUUUGGAAAAAGCAAACUGAUAAAGGGUCGGUUUCAAACAGUUAAUUAAGAUAUUGUUAUAUGUCUGGCAUGUAACAUAAUUAUAACAAAUUCAUGGAUAAUUGUAUGUGUUAUAGACAUCUUAGAAAUGCAGAUCCACACAAAUGCAGGUGGGAGUGUGCCUCGGUUACCUUUUCCAGGGGAUAUCAACAGACUAGAGCAAGCUAGCUCAUCCAUGGAUCACAAAUGACUAAUGAUGCACCCUUCGUGCUAGCUUUGCAUUGAACCGGUCAGACCCGAGCCAUGGCUCCCGAGUACAGCUGGUAUCCAACUCAUGCUUGGCAUGCAUGAUCGAUGAGGCCGGCUUUGCUGUCCCCCAGGGCCGGAUCGGCUUUCAUGGUCGGAUCGACUCAAGUUGCACAAAUCCCAAAUGGUACUUUUCAAUCAAAUCUUUUCGGUCAUCAUCGCAUGCAUCUGUUGCGCGCUGCAUGCAUGGAUUAUAUAAAGAGAAAAAGGAAAGCUCUACUGAUUUGCAACUCGAUCGAUCCCUAACUAACAUGAUAGUUCCUCC